Molecule: ribosomal RNA, 563 nt
Filed under: uncultured organism
Description: bacterial SSU rRNA
Rfam family: Bacterial small subunit ribosomal RNA
Source: RNAcentral
CCUACGGGUGGCAGCAGUCGAGAAUUUUCUCAAUGGGCGCAAGCCUGAAGGAGCGACGCCGCGUGGGGGAUGAAUGGCUUCGGCCCGUAAACCCCUGUCAUUUGUGAACAAACCUUUCAGGUUAACAGCCUGAAAGCUGAUAGUAGCAGAAGAGGAAGGGACGGCUAACUCUGUGCCAGCAGCCGCGGUAAUACAGAGGUCCCAAGCGUUGUUCGGAUUCACUGGGCGUAAAGGGUGCGUAGGUGGCCGGGAAAGUUCGGUGUGAAAGCUCCAAGCUCAACUUGGAAAUGUCAUUGAAAACUUCUCGGCUUGAGGAUUGAAAGGGAGACUGGAAUUCUCGGUGUAGCAGUGAAAUGCGUAGAUAUCGAGAGGAACACCGGUGGCGAAGGCGAGUCUCUGGGCAAUUCCUGACACUGAGGCACGAAAGCUGGGGGAGCAAACAGGAUUAGAUACCCUGGUAGUCCCAGCUGUAAACGGUGCACGUUUGCUGCGGGCGGAAUCGACCCCGUCCGUGGCGAAGCUAACGCGUUAAACGUGCCGCCUGGGAAGUACGGUCGCAAGAC